UACAGAGGCUCCAAGCGUUAGGCGGAAUCGCUGGGCUUAAAGCGUGUGUAGGCGGCUCGGUAAGUAUCUUGUGAAAUCCCACGGCUCAACCGUGGAACUGCUGGAUAUACUGCCGAACUUGAACCACCUAGGGGCGAGCGGAACAGAUGGUGGAGCGGUGAAAUGCAUAGAUAUCAUCUGGAACGCCAAUGGUGAAGACAGCUCGCUGGGGGUGUGUUGACGCUGAGACACGAAAGCCAGGGGAGCGAACGGG
This 253-nucleotide unclassified non-coding RNA is filed under the name uncultured Tepidisphaeraceae bacterium. RNAcentral's name for it is "contains 16S-23S intergenic spacer region". It matches the Rfam family "Bacterial small subunit ribosomal RNA", at positions 524 to 776 of the family's 1533-position model. The record is from RNAcentral. Lineage: Bacteria; Pseudomonadati; Planctomycetota; Phycisphaerae; Tepidisphaerales; Tepidisphaeraceae.